AGCCUGGGACUGUUGAUCUCCAGGGUGUGCUACAAGAAGCAUUACUCUGCUCAUAUCAGUGAUGACCGUGACGCCUUCAGAAAAAAGAAUUUGUGCCAGCUCUGUAACAAGUGAGGGGAGAAUGUGGUCGCCUGCUCCUGUAUAACAAAGCUCUGCCAUGCAGGACUGCUCACUGGCACUGACCUGGCACGUAGCUGUGAGACAAGUGACCUGAGACAGAAAUCAAACACAGCAGAUUCUUCCUGGGUGACCGGAGGCAAGGAAUGCAUUGGAAGUGAGCAGAUG
RNAcentral lists this long non-coding RNA (285 nucleotides) under Cyanistes caeruleus (blue tit). RNAcentral describes it as "lncRNA (ENSCCEG00000013817.1)". The record is from RNAcentral. Lineage: Eukaryota; Metazoa; Chordata; Aves; Passeriformes; Paridae.